CCUUUUGGAAUGGGACAGCAGAGGGAUGAACGGGUGUUUUGCAGGGCUGUGUUUCAUCUCAGCGAUCAACUGGUUGACCUAUAUGUGAGACUUUGCAAGCCGAGUGUGAUGAUCCUGCUUAGAAUCCCAGCAUUUGAGAGGCUGAGCCAGCAAAUUGACGGCAAGAUUUUACACUCCUUUGAGGUGAGACAGACCAACAGAUACCUGUAAACCAAUGAGUUCCUUUCAGCACCCUGGGAAUUGCAAGCAGAUGAACAUCGGUCCCUGCCCUCAAGAAAGCAUGCAAUGAUUUUGUGGCAUGGCAGAGAGCAACGGGGAUCCUAAGUGUUCAACUCUCUAGAGAGAGUGCUUAUCACAUCAGCUCCACCUGUGAUGGGAUAUUACACAUAGAUAAUUAAUAAAAUAAAAAGGUUAUAUUUUUACUUUGGCCAACACU
RNAcentral lists this long non-coding RNA (436 nucleotides) under Mus musculus (house mouse). RNAcentral describes it as "pluripotency associated transcript 3". The record is from RNAcentral. Lineage: Eukaryota; Metazoa; Chordata; Mammalia; Rodentia; Muridae.